RNAcentral lists this microRNA precursor (106 nucleotides) under Marmota monax (woodchuck). The record is from RNAcentral. Lineage: Eukaryota; Metazoa; Chordata; Mammalia; Rodentia; Sciuridae.
AGUCAUAAUUUGCUGGGUUACAUGGUAGUUGUAUGUUUAAAUUUUUAAAGAAACUGCCUAACUCUUUUCCAGAGUGUCUGUACCAUUUUACAUUCUCACCAACAAU